GUAACAGUGCUGUGCCUUGCCCAAGUCUCAACGAGACUAUAGUGAAACGAAGGGAGUUAAAUUCCACCACAAUUAGCUGGAACGUGCAUAUUCGGGGGAGCAAUUGCCAAACCUGCUGCACAACUCGCCUGCGGUGGCGUGCAGGCCCUGCAGCAGAAUCCAUGGUUGUGAUGCAGGCUAUGCAGCACCUUUAUGGUGUAUGCCAAUUAUUGAGUCAGAGUUAAUGCAUAUCGAGUGGAUGCAUGCCUGUUGUCCAUUCUAUCAGUGAUACACCCAAAAUGCUGGAGGAUCUCAGCAGGUCAGGCAGCACCUAUGUGAAGAGUAAACAGUCAAUGUUUCAGGCUGAGACCCUUCAUCAGGACUGGAAAUAAAAAGAGAUGAAAUAUCAAACAGGUGUUAUGACUUCUUGCAAGACAGACCUUACUCCUGUGUGGCUGCAUCUCAGUGCAAAGCAAGCUGACGUUUGUGUUGUCCUUUGAUGUCCUCCUCAGGGUCCCCAAAUGCAUGGUGACAAGGGUGUGGAG
This is a long non-coding RNA of Hypanus sabinus (Atlantic stingray), 524 nucleotides long. RefSeq lists it as uncharacterized. The transcript is spliced from 3 exons. The record is from RefSeq and is a predicted model, not a curated record. NCBI's taxonomy places the organism in Eukaryota, Metazoa, Chordata, Chondrichthyes, Myliobatiformes, Dasyatidae.